This 253-nucleotide ribosomal RNA is filed under the name uncultured bacterium. RNAcentral's name for it is "partial 16S ribosomal RNA". It matches the Rfam family "Bacterial small subunit ribosomal RNA", at positions 524 to 776 of the family's 1533-position model. The record is from RNAcentral.
UACGUAGGGUGCGAGCGUUAAUCGGAAUUACUGGGCGUAAAGCGCACGUAGUCGGCUUUGCAAGUCGGUUGUGAAAUCCCCGGGCUCAACCUGGGAACUGCAUCCGAGACUGCAUUGCUAGAGUAUGGGAGAGGAAAGCGGAAUUUCUGGUGUAGCAGUGAAAUGCGCAGAUAUCAGAAGGAACAUCAGUGGCGAAGGCGGCUUUCUGGACCAAUACUGACGAUCAGGUGCGAAAGCGUGGGGAGCAAACAGG